GCUGCAGGACAAGCUGUGGGUUUCUGGCAUCAGCCCUGCGGCUGGAGGCAUGGCAGGUUUCCUGCCCAAUACCCACUGCUUCUAAGGCCUGCUGCCGCCACCCAGGCAUCUCUUACUCUCUGCACACUGUCUUGGGACAGCCGGCUCUAGGAAUUCUCGCUAUGGCACUCGAUUCAGCCAGGAGACAGGUGAUGCGUAAUGUUGUCAGAAAGCAUGUGCUGGUGAAGAAAUAUAUUGAGCCCUGCUUGGUCCAGUGAGGUUAUUAGUGAAUUGGGAGAGGCUCAAAUCAGCAUGCAAACUAUUGUGAAAUUUUGACAGGUUCUUGCUAAGUUGCCAAGAGUCUUGCGAAGUUGCUCAGAUUGGCUUGAAACUUGUGAUCCUCCUGCUUCAGCCUCUGGAGUUGCUGGGAUUACAAGUGUGUACCACCACACAUGGCUCUGCCUGCUCAGCAAAUUCACCAGAGUGCCAGGAUCAAUCACUAUUUCUGAGGAUAUCCUGGUGAGGCAGUUUAGAAACCUUGGCUGGAUUGUGAAGGCAUAUCUUUGAAAAGUGUUUCAGAGUCCAGCAAAUGUUCCAUGUGAGUGACCACAUAGAAGAAGAGAAGGGGGUUCGCAGUGAUUAAGGUUGUCCCUUUCACAAAUAAUGGUGCAA
This is a non-coding RNA of Marmota flaviventris (yellow-bellied marmot), 651 nucleotides long. The record is from RefSeq and is a predicted model, not a curated record. NCBI's taxonomy places the organism in Eukaryota, Metazoa, Chordata, Mammalia, Rodentia, Sciuridae.